This is a non-coding RNA of Lutzomyia longipalpis, 122 nucleotides long. Lineage: Eukaryota; Metazoa; Arthropoda; Insecta; Diptera; Psychodidae. The record is from Rfam.
GUCAACGACCAUACUAUUAUGCUGAACAUACCGGUUCUCGUCUGAUCACCGAAGUCAAGCAGCAUCGGGCGCGGUUAGUACUUGGAUGGGGGACCGCUUGGGAACACCGCGUGUCGUUGGCU